UACGUAGGGUGCUAGCGUUGUUCGGAAUCAUUGGGCGUAAAGCGCGUGUAGGCGGUUUACUAAGUCGGGUGUGAAAUCCCUGGGCUCAACCCAGGAAGUGCAUUCGAAACUGGUUGACUAGAAGAUGGUAGAGGAAGGUGGAAUUCCAAGUGUAGAGGUGAAAUUCGUAGAUAUUUGGAGGAAUACCGGCGGCGAAGGCGGCCUUCUGGACCAUUCUUGACGCUGAGACGCGAAAGCGUGGGGAGCAAAC
RNAcentral lists this ribosomal RNA (250 nucleotides) under uncultured bacterium. RNAcentral's name for it is "partial 16S ribosomal RNA". It matches the Rfam family "Bacterial small subunit ribosomal RNA", at positions 524 to 773 of the family's 1533-position model. The record is from RNAcentral.